UGAACGCUGGCGGCGUGCCUAAUACAUGCACGUCGAGCGAACAGACGAGGAGCUUGCUCCUCUGACGUUAGCGGCGGACGGGUGAGUAACACGUGGAUAACCUACCUAUAAGACUGGGAUAACUUCGGGAAACCGGAGCUAAUACCGGAUAAUAUAUUGAACCGCAUGGUUCAAUAGUGAAAGACGGUUUUGCUGUCACUUAUAGAUGGAUCCGCGCCGCAUUAGCUAGUUGGUAAGGUAACGGCUUACCAAGGCAACGAUGCGUAGCCGACCUGAGAGGGUGAUCGGCCACACUGGAACUGAGACACGGUCCAGACUCCUACGGGAGGCAGCAGUAGGGAAUCUUCCGCAAUGGGCGAAAGCCUGACGGAGCAACACCGCGUGAGUGAUGAAGGUCUUCGGAUCGUAAAACUCUGUUAUUAGGGAAGAACAAAUGUGUAAGUAACUAUGCACGUCUUGACGGUACCUAAUCAGAAAGCCACGGCUAACUACGUG
Molecule: ribosomal RNA, 495 nt
Filed under: uncultured bacterium
Lineage: Bacteria
Description: partial 16S ribosomal RNA
Rfam family: Bacterial small subunit ribosomal RNA
Source: RNAcentral